AGGACACUCUAUACGGAGUUACAAAGGACGACAUUAGACGAAUCAUCUGGAAAGAUGAAUCAAAGAAGGUAAUAAUCCUGUAGUCGAAAAUGUUGUCUCUCUUGAGUGGAUCCUGAGUACGACGGAGCACGUGAAAUUCCGUCGGAAUCUGGGAGGACCAUCUCCUAAGGCUAAAUACUCUCUAGUGACCGAUAGUGAACCAGUACCGUGAGGGAAAGGUGAAAAGCACCCCGGAAGGGGAGUGAAAUAGAACCUGAAACCGUGUGCUUACAAGUAGUCAGAGCCCGUUAAUGGGUGAUGGCGUGCCUUUUGUAGAAUGAACCGGCGAGUUACGAUUUGAUGCAAGGUUAAGCAGUAAAUGUGGAGCCGUAGCGAAAGCGAGUCUGAAUAGGGCGUUUAGUAUUUGGUCGUAGACCCGAAACCAGGUGAUCUACCCUUGGUCAGGUUGAAGUUCAGGUAACACUGAAUGGAGGACCGAACCGACUUACGUUGAAAAGUGAGCGGAUGAACUGAGGGUAGCGGAGAAAUUCCAAUCGAACCUGGAGAUAGCUGGUUCUCUCCGAAAUAGCUUUAGGGCUAGCCUCAAGUGAUGAUUAUUGGAGGUAGAGCACUGUUUGGACGAGGGGCCCCUCUCGGGUUACCGAAUUCAGACAAACUCCGAAUGCCAAUUAAUUUAACUUGGGAGUCAGAACAUGGGUGAUAAGGUCCGUGUUCGAAAGGGAAACAGCCCAGACCACCAGCUAAGGUCCCAAAAUAUAUGUUAAGUGGAAAAGGAUGUGGCGUUGCCCAGACAACUAGGAUGUUGGCUUAGAAGCAGCCAUCAUUUAAAGAGUGCGUAAUAGCUCACUAGUCGAGUGACACUGCGCCGAAAAUGUACCGGGGCUAAACAUAUUACCGAAGCUGUGGAUUGUCCUUUGGACAAUGGUAGGAGAGCGUUCUAAGGGCGUUGAAGCAUGAUCGUAAGGACAUGUG
Molecule: ribosomal RNA, 972 nt
Filed under: Staphylococcus aureus
Lineage: Bacteria; Bacillati; Bacillota; Bacilli; Caryophanales; Staphylococcaceae
Description: partial 23S ribosomal RNA
Rfam family: Bacterial large subunit ribosomal RNA
Source: RNAcentral